Molecule: ribosomal RNA, 1186 nt
Filed under: Tuberculitermes bycanistes
Lineage: Eukaryota; Metazoa; Arthropoda; Insecta; Blattodea; Termitidae
Description: 16S ribosomal RNA
Rfam family: Bacterial large subunit ribosomal RNA (bases 753-1186)
Source: RNAcentral
UUGUCUUGUUGUAUUUUGUGUAAUUUUUUUUUGUUUCAUUGAAAUAUCAUUGUGGUUGUUGUAUUAUUUUGAUUUAAUUUUUUGUACGAUAGUUUAGUUGUACCGUGGGGGUUAGGAAUAUGAAUGUUUUUUAAGAAGCUGAUUUUGUUUGUUGUACCUUGUGUAUCAGGGUCCAUUGAAUUUUAUUAUUUAUUUUUAUUUCCCGAUUUUAAAGGAGUUAAUGAUUUAUGUUAGUUACUGUUUUAUAAGUAUUAAUAAUAGGUUGUUGGUAGUGAAAUGUUAAUCGUCUUUAGUGGUUUCUGGUUUUUCAAGAAAUGAAUUUAAUUCAUACAUCUUAUUUAAUUUCUGUUAUUUUUUUAUAAUUUUUAUUUGAUGUUAAGAUUGAGGGGGAUUAGCUCCUUGUUUUAUUUUUAUAAUUGGUUAUGUUAGAUUUAGUUUUGUGGAUUUUAUAGUGAUUUUCGAUUUGAUUAUGUUAAAAUUUUAUUUAUUCUUUUGUGUAUUUUCUGUAAUUUAAGUUAUUUAUUGAAAUGUUUUCUUUAUCUUUGGUUUGUAUAAAAAUUAUUGUGUAAUUAGUAAAUUUGUUUAUUAUGUUNNNNNNNNNNNNNNNNNNNNCGAUCUAACGGUCCGGCUGAAGGGCCGCGGUAUUUUGACCGUGCAAAGGUAGCAUAAUCAUUAGUUCUUUAAUUGUGAUCUGGUAUGAAUGGCUUGACGAGACACGAGCUGUCUUAGGUUGAUUGUUUUUUGAAUUUGGGGUUUGAGUUAAAAUACUUAGAUGUUUUUAUGGGACGAGAAGACCCUAUAGAGUUUAACACUUUUCUUGUUGUCGUGUAAUUCGUUUGUUUGAUUUGUUUAUAAUGGGUUGUGUGUUUUGUUGGGGUGAUGAGAGGGAUAAUUUAACUCCUCUUUUCUGUUGAUAUAUUUAUUUAUGUUUUCAUUGAUCCAUUUAUUUUGAUUAUAAGAUUAAAUUACCUUAGGGAUAACAGCGUUAUCUUCCUUGAGAGUUCUUAUUGGCGGGGAGGUUUGCGACCUCGAUGUUGGAUUAAGGUUAAUUUUCGGUGCAGGAGCUGAAGUGAUUGGGUCUGUUCGACCUUUAAAAUCUUACAUGAUCUGAGUUCAAACCGGCGUGAGCCAGGUUGGUUUCUAUCUAUAAUAGCGUUUUAUAUCUUAGUACGAGAGGACCGGGUAU